AGGGUCGACUCAAGCUACAGUGGGGUCGACCCUCUCAAGAAUUCCAGAGACAUGGUUUUUGAGCAAUGUAUACUUGGGGUCGGCUCAUGUUCACUUGGGGUCGGCUCUAUUGGGGUCGACUCAAGUAUUUCUAGGGUCGGCUCCAUCUGGGGUCGGCUCAAGGAAGCUUGGGGUCGACCCUCUCAAUAAAUUUCAGAGAGUUGUUUUCUUGAGGCUUGAGGCUGGGUCGACUUAAGGUUCUCUGGGGUCGGCUCCACUCCUGGGGUCGACUCAAGCAUACAUGGGGUCGACUCCACUUACUGUUCAUCAGUGCCAUUUUUGCAGGGGUGUGCCAGAUGGUUUCAUGAUGUGCCAAGGUCGACUCCACUUAUGUUGGGGUCGACUCAUUCCACAUUUUGCUGCAUCUUAGGGUUAGAGGAAUCCAUAUAAUCAAUGAAAUAUAUUUCAAGUAAUUUUGGUGCUGCAUACUUUUAACAAUGAAAAUCACUGUUUUUCCUUUAAGAGUAUAUUUCACUUGAAAUCUUGCUGAAUUAGAAUUAAGAAUUCUCUAUUCCUUUUCUAUUAAAAAUUUUAUCUCGUUAUUAAUUAUUGGAAGACAUCUCGAUCUCAUUCUCUAAAUGUAUCACAUUAAAUUGUGUUUCUAAUUUGAUAUUUCCUCAAUGGUUGUGUCAAUCAUCGAAAUAACACUAUCGUCCUCAAUCUCUCCCUUUUUGAUAAUUAUAAAAUAUUGAGUAUGAACAGAUUGAUACUUAUAUUGAAAUUAGGAGUUUUGUUUUAGAAGGAGCUCAAGUUGCUGAAUUUCUGCUUUUCAAAUUUGAAGGUGAAGACUCCCGCUCUUUCAUCCAAAUAUUGCCAAUUAGAACUUUUGAUUUUCUCCCCCUUUCUUUUGUAUUUUAUUAAGGAUGAAACUUCAAAAAUUUAAGAUAAAGCAAGAGUUUCAGGUUAUGUAUCGAGGCAAGAGAAGUAUGUGCCAAAUUCAGAAAUUUCAUUGUUACAUAUUGCUCCCCCUUAAAUGAAUAUUAUCUCUUGCUAUUAUUUUCAAACUUAUUUGUCCCUUUAUGUUGCAACUUUUUUCUUUUCUUACUUUUUCCUCUUUUUGUUAUCAUCAAACAAGUGUAUAGCAAUAGAUAAGUAGAAGCAGUAAAUAAUAAAAAUUCAAAUUUCAUUGAUCAAAAUGGAACAUUGUAGUACAUUAAUGCCAAAAGUACAAUAUUCUUCAAUUAAGGUAUAAAAUACAUCAACCAGGUAAAAUGCAUAUAAGAACUAGAUAAAUCCUAGGCACUAGACAUGAUAGACUACUGUAGUGCUAACAUCGGGCCUAGGGAGAAUCUAAGAGCUGUGAUCUAGUCCUCAUCCUCCUAGCAUAAGUGGCGAGGGGAGGUCGAGCCUAAUGGGACUGAGUCUGGCGUGGACCUUGCUGAGCUGGAUGACUCUGUGCCGAAACCUCCGACUCAGCUGCUCGGGGCACAGAUGGACCAUGAGCCUCUCUCUCUCUCUC
Molecule: long non-coding RNA, 1498 nt
Filed under: Phoenix dactylifera (date palm)
Lineage: Eukaryota; Viridiplantae; Streptophyta; Magnoliopsida; Arecales; Arecaceae
Description: long non-coding RNA (PDAC_LNC014500)
Source: RNAcentral